UUCUGGACUUGCUCUGCAUGUCGGGCUCCCUGCACUUUUGGUGCGGCCAACCGACAUGGGGCUGUCUCUCCACUCUCCCUCCCGUCAUUGAAUCUGUCGGGCUGGGAUGCUUGUGAUCGGUUGCCUGUGCGGUUCUACCCUCUUGUGGGUAGCGAAGUCGUCCCUCGAUGGAUAUUUGCUUGCCCUGCUGACAUCUUUUUGUCGUUCGGGCAGCCGAAAUGUUGGCGAAAUCCCUGUGUUGGUGCGCGGCCGAGUGCCCUGUUGCUAUCACUUGGAUUUCUGCCGGCUCUCACGGAUGCGGUGCCUAGUGCCAGCUCUGCGGGGCUCUGUCCCGCAGACUUCGGGAGGUCCCUUGCACGAAUCAUUGCUCUUAUACGCCGUCUAGCGUGUUGCCUGCGGCGACCGCAGAUCGUGUUUUGUCGUGCCGUCAUUGACGGCAUGGCAGAACAAAGUGUCCGGAGCGUGCUCGCGUGCCUGCGGAAUGCCUCCCUGUCCGUAUGAGCAGCGAUUUCCGGUCUGCGCCGUGCGAAGGCCCGCCCGUCCGGGUCGGUGCUGGAGCCGGCGUGCCGGGUCUCGUUUAAGACGUGC
Molecule: unclassified non-coding RNA, 588 nt
Filed under: Carex pulicaris
Lineage: Eukaryota; Viridiplantae; Streptophyta; Magnoliopsida; Poales; Cyperaceae
Description: partial external transcribed spacer 1
Source: RNAcentral